AGUGAACGCUGGCGGCGUGCCUAAUAAAUGCAAGUCGAACGGAGUGGCGCACGGGUGAGGAAUGUAUAGCUAAUCUGCCCUACACUAGAGGACAACAGGUGGAAACGACUGCUAAUACUCUAUAGUGUAGGAUGAGGCUAUUUUGUAUCAGCUAGUUGGUGAGGUAAUGGCUCACCAAGGCUAUGACGCAUAACAUGUCUGAGAGGAUGAUCAGUCACCCUGGAACUGAGACACCGUCCAGACUCCUUCGGGAGGCAGCCAUAUAGCAUUUUGAUCAAUGGGCGAAACCCUUAUGCAGCCACGCCGCGUGGAGGAUAAGACUUUUCGCAGCGUAAACUCCUUUUGUUGUGGUAACGGUACCUAACGAAUAAGCCCCGGCUAACUCCGUGCCAGCAGCCGCGGUAAUUC
This 408-nucleotide ribosomal RNA is filed under the name uncultured bacterium. RNAcentral's name for it is "partial 16S ribosomal RNA". It matches the Rfam family "Bacterial small subunit ribosomal RNA", at positions 29 to 526 of the family's 1533-position model. The record is from RNAcentral.